Molecule: ribosomal RNA, 668 nt
Filed under: Stutzerimonas stutzeri
Lineage: Bacteria; Pseudomonadati; Pseudomonadota; Gammaproteobacteria; Pseudomonadales; Pseudomonadaceae
Description: bacterial SSU rRNA
Rfam family: Bacterial small subunit ribosomal RNA
Source: RNAcentral
UGCAAGUCGAGCGGAUGAGUGGAGCUUGCUCCAUGAUUCAGCGGCGGACGGGUGAGUAAUGCCUAGGAAUCUGCCUGGUAGUGGGGGACAACGUUUCGAAAGGAACGCUAAUACCGCAUACGUCCUACGGGAGAAAGUGGGGGAUCUUCGGACCUCACGCUAUCAGAUGAGCCUAGGUCGGAUUAGCUAGUUGGUGAGGUAAAGGCUCACCAAGGCGACGAUCCGUAACUGGUCUGAGAGGAUGAUCAGUCACACUGGAACUGAGACACGGUCCAGACUCCUACGGGAGGCAGCAGUGGGGAAUAUUGGACAAUGGGCGAAAGCCUGAUCCAGCCAUGCCGCGUGUGUGAAGAAGGUCUUCGGAUUGUAAAGCACUUUAAGUUGGGAGGAAGGGCAGUAAGUUAAUACCUUGCUGUUUUGACGUUACCAACAGAAUAAGCACCGGCUAACUUCGUGCCAGCAGCCGCGGUAAUACGAAGGGUGCAAGCGUUAAUCGGAAUUACUGGGCGUAAAGCGCGCGUAGGUGGUUCGUUAAGUUGGAUGUGAAAGCCCCGGGCUCAACCUGGGAACUGCAUCCAAAACUGGCGAGCUAGAGUAUGGCAGAGGGUGGUGGAAUUUCCUGUGUAGCGGUGAAAUGCGUAGAUAUAGGAAGGAACACCAGUGGCGAA